This 291-nucleotide long non-coding RNA is filed under the name Homo sapiens (human). Its description in RNAcentral is "HSALNT0287965". Lineage: Eukaryota; Metazoa; Chordata; Mammalia; Primates; Hominidae. The record is from RNAcentral.
CAGAGGUCUCCUUCUCCGCCAAACCUCACGGAAUUGUGACAUUCAUGGCGAAUGUGCGGGACCCCAUCCAUCCCUCACCAGCUUGUAUCCUCAGCUUUAUCUGAAGUUAAAAGUAUCUUUCCCAUAAUGAAAUCCAAAGAUGAUGGAAGAGUGCCCCCUCACGGUGUGGAGGUCCUGCUUGGCUAGCAACUGAAUAUGAAGUAAAUUCAAGGGACCCUGCGGACCGGACUGCUAGUGUUUCUAAAUGGGGUGUACACUGGACAAUAAAACACUGAAAGAUUUCUGUUCCUG